Molecule: ribosomal RNA, 826 nt
Filed under: Gomphus clavatus
Lineage: Eukaryota; Fungi; Basidiomycota; Agaricomycetes; Gomphales; Gomphaceae
Description: partial large subunit ribosomal RNA
Rfam family: Eukaryotic large subunit ribosomal RNA
Source: RNAcentral
CCUUUGGUCGUCCGAGUUGUAGUCUGGAGAAGCGUCUUCCGCGCCGGACCGUGUACAAGUCCCUUGGAACGGGGCGUCAUAGAGGGUGAGAAUCCCGUCUUUGACACGGACCGCCGGUGCUUUGUGAUGCGCUCUCAAAGAGUCGAGUUGUUUGGGAAUGCAGCUCAAAACGGGUGGUAAAUUCCAUCUAAAGCUAAAUAUUGGCGAAAGACCGAUAGCGAACAAGUACCGUGAGGGAAAGAUGAAAAGCACUUUGGAAAGAGAGUUAAACAGUACGUGAAAUUGUUGAAAGGGAAACGCUUGAAGUCAGUCGCGUCUCUUGGGACUCAGCCUUGCUUUUGCCUGGCGUACUUCCUGAGGUGACGGGCCAGCAUCGAUUUUGACCGUCGGAGAAAGGCCUUGGGAAUGUGGCACCUCUGGGUGUGUUAUAGCCCUGGGUCGCAUGCGACGGUUGGGAUCGAGGACCGCAGCACGCCUUUUUGGCCGGGGUUCGCCCACGUAACGUGCUUAGGAUGCUGGCGUAAUGGCUUUAAGCGACCCGUCUUGAAACACGGACCAAGGAGUCUAACAUGCCCGCGAGUGUUUGGGUGGAAAACCCGGACGCGUAAUGAAAGUGAAAUGUUGGGACCUCUGUCGCGGAGGGCACCGACGCCCGGACCAGACCUUCUGUGACGGCUCCGAGGUAGAGCGUGCAUGCUGGGACCCGAAAGAUGGUGAACUAUGCCUGAGUAGGGUGAAGCCAGAGGAAACUCUGGUGGAGGCUCGUAGCGAUUCUGACGUGCAAUCCGAUCGUCGAACUUGGGUAUAGGGGCGAAAGACUAAUCGA